GUAGGCCUUGCGUUCGCCGCUGCCCCGCAGCGCGCGCUCUGCUCCGCUCUGCCGCGCGAUGUCGCCGGGGGCGCCGCCGCCGUUCGCCGUCGCUUCCCUCACCCACCAAUGCUCCGUCCUUCUCCGCCGCCUCGCCGAGGGCUACUCCCCGGCGCCGGCCUACGCCUCCACGUUCCUCCGCGCCCUACGCUGCCUCCACGCCCG
This 204-nucleotide long non-coding RNA is filed under the name Oryza brachyantha (malo sina). Its description in RNAcentral is "long non-coding RNA (OBRA_LNC002097)". Lineage: Eukaryota; Viridiplantae; Streptophyta; Magnoliopsida; Poales; Poaceae. The record is from RNAcentral.